GAUGAACGCUAGCGGUGUGCCUAAUGCAUGCAAGUCGAACGGGAUCCUUUAGAUUCGUCUGAAGGUGAGAGUGGCGGACGGGUGAGUAACGCGUUGGUGACCUGCCCCGGAGAGGGGGACAACCAUUGGAAACGAUGGCUAAUACCCCAGAUGUCAUUGUGUUUAGAAAACAAUGACUAAACGCUCCGGCGCUCUGGGAGGGGCCCGCGUCCCAUCAGCUUGUUGGUAAGGUAAUGGCUUACCAAGGCAAAGACGGGUAGGGGGCGUGAGAGCGUGACCCCCCACACUGGUACUGAAACACGGACCAGAUACCUACGGGUAGCAGCAGCAAGGAAUAUUGCCCAAUGG
RNAcentral lists this ribosomal RNA (348 nucleotides) under uncultured bacterium. RNAcentral describes it as "bacterial SSU rRNA". It matches the Rfam family "Bacterial small subunit ribosomal RNA", at positions 28 to 374 of the family's 1533-position model. The record is from RNAcentral.